AGUGGCGAACGGGUGAGUAAUGCGUCGGAAUGUACCGAGUAAUGGGGGAUAGCCCGGCGAAAGCCGGAUUAAUACCGCAUACGUCCUACGGGAGAAAGCAGGGGAUCGCAAGACCUUGCGUUAUUCGAGCAGCCGACGUCUGAUUAGCUAGUUGGUGGGGUAAAGGCCUACCAAGGCGACGAUCAGUAGCGGGUCUGAGAGGAUGAUCCGCCACACUGGUACUGAGACACGGACCAGACUCCUACGGGAGGCAGCAGUGGGGAAUUUUGGACAAUGGGGGCAACCCUGAUCCAGCCAUUCCGCGUGGAGUGAAGAAGGCCUUCGGGUUGUAAAGCUCUUUCGGCAGGAAAGAAAUCGCAUGCUCUAACAUAGUGUGUGGAUGACGGUACCUGAAGAAGAAGCACCGGCUAACUACGUGCCAGCAGCCGCGGUAAUACGUAGGGUGCGAGCG
This 451-nucleotide ribosomal RNA is filed under the name uncultured bacterium. RNAcentral describes it as "bacterial SSU rRNA". It matches the Rfam family "Bacterial small subunit ribosomal RNA", at positions 94 to 540 of the family's 1533-position model. The record is from RNAcentral.